Molecule: long non-coding RNA, 1516 nt
Filed under: Macaca mulatta (Rhesus monkey)
Lineage: Eukaryota; Metazoa; Chordata; Mammalia; Primates; Cercopithecidae
Description: lncRNA (ENSMMUG00000051145.1)
Source: RNAcentral
AGAGUUUUCUCGUUUUGGAAUCUAAGCUGAAGAAAUAGUUAUUAUUUGGGAUAUACUAUUUUUCUGGCAGAGGGAAACAAUAAUAACUUGUGGAAAUUAACGAGUCUUCUUAAAGCUUUUGCUUUAAGGAUGCACACAUUACAUCUGCUCGUAUACUAUUAAUCAAUGCAAGUCAGAUGGCCAAACUCAAAAUCAACGGAGUGAGGAUGUUCAUUAUUCUGUGGUGGAGUGGAUACAGCAAAUCACCUGUUAAGGAGAAAGUAAAAAUUCAAUUAACCACUGAUGGGCAACAUCCAAAAUUAAGAGCAGAAACAGAAAAAUAAAAGACCACUCAGCAAAGACAAGUAGAGUAUAAGCAUCACAUAGGCUGGAAACUUUGCUCUUUUCUGUUUGUUUUUGUCCGUUCUCUUAUGUAUCCCAAGCAUCUGGAAUGAGGACCGGCACAUAGCUAUUGUUCAAUAAAUGCUUGUUGAUAAAUUAAAAAUGCUGGAAUUAUUUGACUUCUCUUUAUCAACUGUAGGCAACACUAACCUGUAUGCAGGAAAAAAACAUACAGGAUUAAUGAAGAAUUUGGGGGUGGUUUACUCUAACAGUAUUAUCUAGACUCUCAUUUAGGAUCUAUAUUUGCAUUGAAAGGUGCAGGUAAUAUGAUUUACUUCUGUACAGAAUGUACUGAAACCUGUGUUUCUGAGUCUGUAAUUAAAUGUGGCCCUUAUCUUAAUGAGCACAUGCCAUCCUUCUCUCUAGGCAGAGCCUCUUAACACAACUGAAAUAGCCCAGCAAUUGCACAGAGCAUACUGCAGAGUUCUGUCAUAUCCCAUGAUACAAUUAGUCUCUGUGAUUAGGUGGAUUUAAACAAAAAGGUAUGUGUUUAUCUUCAUGAUGCACAGAGUGGCAGUGGCAGGUGGCUCCAUUUCCUAGAAUAUGGUUCCAAUCCAAGAUGUCAUUUGGAGAGAUAUCAGUUGCCACAGAGAAGUUAAGUCUUGUGUGAAGCUGAAGAAGGUGAAGUUGAUCAUAGGAGUUUCCUUGCACUUCUCUUUGGAACAGCUUAAAUCCUAGGCACCCACCUUUGCCUCAGAAUUCAGCUGGUGUCUGAUGUGGAAUAAUUUGUGUCCCCUGCCCAGAAAGAUAUGUUGAAGUGCUAACCCUGGUACCUGUGACUAUGACCUUCUUUGGAAGUAGGGUAUUUGCAGAUGUAAUCAAGUUAAAAUGAGUCAUCCUACAUCUAGUUAAUGGUGUCCUUAUAAACAGGCUGAGAUUUGAAAACCCAGAGGGCAGAGGGAAAUAGGGCACUUGAUGACCAAGGCGGAGAUUGCAAUGAUUCAACUGCAAGCCAAAAAAUGCCAAGGAUUGGCCAGGCGUGGUGGCUCACGCCUGUAAUCCCAGCACUUUGGGAGUCCGAGGCAGGUGGAUUGUGAGAUCAGGAGAUCGAGACCACCCUGGCUAAUAUGGUGAAACCCCGCCUCUACUAAAAAUACAAAAAUUAUCUGGGCAUGGUGGUGGGCACCUGUAGUCC